Molecule: long non-coding RNA, 1000 nt
Filed under: Cyanistes caeruleus (blue tit)
Lineage: Eukaryota; Metazoa; Chordata; Aves; Passeriformes; Paridae
Description: lncRNA (ENSCCEG00000021945.1)
Source: RNAcentral
CUGGGAGCCCCAGGUCAAAAGGGGAUUGUCUGUAGAUGUGGAAUGGAUGGUUUGGCUUGGUAAACAACCAGUGCCAGGGAAAUGUGCUCGUGUGGGCUCUGAAUUGUGCUCCACGUGAAGCAAAGUGCACAGCCUGAAUUUAGAGGCAGGUUGUUCUUAGAGACAUGGCACUUUUAAAAAAAAUAUUCUUGAAAAUGUUCUUAAAUAUUACAUUUGAAACAUAGUGACAUAUAUUACCCUAUUCAGCUCCAAAAUAUAUAUAUAUAUAUAAAAUUCUAAGGAUGAUAUUAAAAGCUGACAACACACAAUCUUUACUAACCCACAUUCCUGCAGUGUUGUUGCCAGGUCAGUCUGUCAGACUGCACAAAAUCUAAGGUAACGUGUUUAUAAUGCAGUAAAUACAUUUUUCAGGAGCAGGUUUUCACAAAACAGCCAUUCUCCAAGACAGAAGGGACUCACUCUCACCCUGCCACAGCCAUGAACCAGCUCAGCCCAGCAGGAAAGAACCAAGGAGCAGAGGGGGCUGUUCAAGGAGUUGUUGGAGCUGUUCAGUAUAAAGGAGUUUCUGUGAUGUCCCUGGUCAGUGGAAUAACUCUGAAAUAAGUAGAAAGUAGGGCCCAAAAGCUGAGUCUAGAAGAAGUCAGAAACACUUCUUUUCUGGAGCAAUAUUCCUGCCUUGGAAGGAAUACUUGCAGAGACCCUGCAGGACAAAACAAGGUUUAGAGAGUUCAGUACAGCCCAUUGUGGAACUCUGGCUGCCAUCUCUCCUUUGUGAAAGCCUCCUCACAUCCAUUGCACUGAGUUUCCAAGUGUUUCCUAUAAGGAGUUCCUAUAAGGAGGAGAACAGGUGGGUAAGAGCCUCCAGUGGGGCUAAUGACACAGAAUAAAACUCAGUGCUGUUAUCCGAGUUCAUUGUGAGUGUUUUGAGAGGAGAUAGGUUAUUAAGAGAUCAAAACCUACAUCUUUGGGACAGGGUAAUCUGACCUGAAUUAAGAGCCAA